GGCCAGACUCCUACGGGAGGCAGCAGUGGGGAAUAUUGCACAAUGGGGGAAACCCUGAUGCAGCGACGCCGCGUGAGCGAAGAAGUAUUUCGGUAUGUAAAGCUCUCUCAGCAGGGAAGAAAAUGACGGUACCUGAGUAAGAAGCUCCGGCUAAAUACGUGCCAGCAGCCGCGGUAAUACGUAUGGAGCAAGCGUUAUCCGGAUUUACUGGGUGUAAAGGGAGCGCAGGCGGUCUGGCAAGUCUGAUGUGAAAUACCGGGGCUCAACUCCGGGACUGCAUUGGAAACUGUCAGACUGGAGUGUCGGAGAGGCAGGCGGAAUUCCUGGUGUAGCGGUGAAAUGCGUAGAUAUCAGGAGGAACACCAGUGGCGAAGGCGGCCUGCUGGACGAUGACUGACGCUGAGGCUCGAAAGCGUGGGGAGCAAACAGGAUUAGAUACCCGCGUAA
Molecule: ribosomal RNA, 447 nt
Filed under: uncultured bacterium
Lineage: Bacteria
Description: bacterial SSU rRNA
Rfam family: Bacterial small subunit ribosomal RNA
Source: RNAcentral